This is a non-coding RNA of Neurospora crassa OR74A, 667 nucleotides long. The record is from RefSeq and is a predicted model, not a curated record. NCBI's taxonomy places the organism in Eukaryota, Fungi, Ascomycota, Sordariomycetes, Sordariales, Sordariaceae.
GGCUAGAAUCAAGCGUGGGGAUUCUAACUCCGAUCCGAGUGAGAGGAUGUGGUAUUCAGCCAUCAUCGACUCGGCGCCCAAGGAAGGAUAUCUGUUGGGUUCUUCUAUAUUUCCCGGGUUCCCUUCUACGGUACCUACCUACUAUCCGGCAAGCGACGUUGUUGGGACAGGGUAGUAAUCGCAGUUGAUCGCAAUGAUGAAUGGCUUUCAUAUGAUAUCACAUUGGAUGGAAUGUCAACAAAGAGAGCUGAGAGAGCCUCAUCACGACCCUUUCAUUACUCUCAGGUUUGAAUGGUACCUCUAGGUAUUAGGUACGUAUUUCCGAGCAAAACUGGUCCACGUGGUGGUCAGAGUCGCCGUUAUCUCCGCCCAUCGUCCGUACACUAGUCUAGUGCACCUAGUGUAGCUGGCGCUAGAUAUGCCCGCCCGCCCGCCCGCCCGCUGAGCCCACUAAAAAAACAAAACACCCGCCAGAGCCCGUCAAAAAUCAGUCCGUCCGAUGCGCCCGGGAACGACCUGACCUAAAACCCACUCACACCCACCACGAACCCGACCGACUUCCGAGAACUACUUACCUCUACCAUAUAACCUAUGUACCUAAUGAAGGACAACAAAAGUGAGUCCGUGUCUGAACACUAGGUACAUACGUGGUGUGCAGUGUACUACA